This is a long non-coding RNA of Aethalodelphis obliquidens (Pacific white-sided dolphin), 7291 nucleotides long. RefSeq lists it as uncharacterized. The transcript has 2 exons. The record is from RefSeq and is a predicted model, not a curated record. Lineage: Eukaryota; Metazoa; Chordata; Mammalia; Artiodactyla; Delphinidae.
AGCCUGUGCUCCGCAACGGGAAGAGGCCACAACAAUGAGAGGCCCACGUACUGCAAAAAAAAGAAGAAAAAAUCAGUGGUUUAAUUGAUUAAAUGAGCAUAGGGCUAGACACAUGGUUAUAACUCAGUAAAAAUAGAUUUUUUAAAACAGCUUACUUUAAAACAAAAUGGAUUUCAAAAAUUGAAAAACACUUGGUUAAAACAUUCUGUUUUUUUAAAAAAAUGUAUCCAGAGAGAUUAAGAUUUAGAACUUCUAAUUUAUAAGUUAAGACAUUUUAUUCACUUGACCUUUUAAGCAAAGUUUUAUAGGUAAGACACAAUAGGCCAUGGACUACGUUAGUAAUCUGAUAUUAAAGUGUUCUCAGAGAAUUUAUUUCUCUAUAAAUUAUUCAGUGGCGUAAAGAAAAUGGCUUUACUCAAUGGAGGGCUGUCAACUUGAAUAUCUUGUUAAGCUUUAUAUGUUUUUUUGAGGGGUAGUUGUUGGUUUAGGCAUUCUAAAUCAGAGUAUUGCUUAGAAACAAAAAAAUCGGGAAAGUUUGUGUUUCUUUGCAAGUCUGCCAUAUACACUGAGCUCAGAAGGUACAGUCUGGUAUUGGGAGGCAGACAUGAUCUUGGGCAGCGUGGACCAGAAGGCCAAGUCUUCCACUUGUGCCUCCACCACUUCGAGCUGUGUGCCCUGGAUGUCUUAUUUAUCUGUCACUUUAUCUUCUUUUGCAAAAUUGUCACAUGACAACGCUCCUGACCAUAUAGGUUUAUUGUGAGAACUGAAUGUUUUCAUUCAAACGUGAAUGAAACGUUUUAUUUAGCUUGCAAAAUGCUGUGCAAAUGUAAGAAGGGAGUGUUAGGUGUCAGAUUUUUUAGUUUGUUUUAGUGGAAUAGCGUACUCUAACUUCAGUCACAUUAGUUUAAAUAGUUCAAAGAAGUUUAAAGAGAAGGUUUAAGUGGUUUCGUUUAAAUAGUUUAAAGAAAAGGAAAAAUAUCUACUUUCACAAAUAACUAGUUAGACAUUUUAAAAUUUAAAUUUUCCGUUAAAAUUUUUACUUGCUGAAUAAAAAUCAGAAAACAGAGUUUUUGUGGGGGAGAGAGGGGAGGGCUUAAAUGAAUUAUCUAAUGUUUUCCAAAUAUUCCUUAUUAAAUAUUUGAACUAUAAAUUGUUAACCUCUUAGGAACAUUAUAAAUAUCAUAGCCAUACAUUUGCCCUUUAGAGUUUUAAAAAAUUGCUGUUUACAGGUUAGGAAACUGCUUCUCAGAGAGGUUAAUGACUUACUCAUGAUUGCCCCAAUAGUAAGUAGUAAGAAGAGACCUGGAGUUAAAAUCUAGGCUUUUUGAUUUGUUGUCUUACUGUCAAUAUCUGAAUUUGCAGUACAAAAUAACCAGGUUAUUCAGUUUUGGGCAUUGAUUUAGACUUAAUCUAAAAAUCGUUAAAGUAGUUUAGAAUGUAUUCUUACUCCCCAACGAAAUAUUAUCUUAAUUGUAUGUAAUAUAUAUCUUAAAAUAUCCUACAAAAAUGUGUUUGUAUAGCGCAAUAAUCAAAAUUUUCUUUAACUUAAAAAAAAUUUAGAUCCAUUGGAGUUACCACUAACAAAUUUGAUCUUGAAUCAAAUUCACCUUGAGUGUGAUAUGGGGGAAUCAGUGAAAUGCUCUGAGGGGUGGCAGUUGUGACUAAAUCCACAUUUCAGGAGAAAAAGGCAGUUUGUUUUGUUGGUCUGUACAUGCUGUGAAUCCUCAGCCCUGCAGCAGGGGUCCUCCAGGGACUAUGGCACACGCAGCCCAUCAGUGACAGCCAAACUGUUGUGAGGUGACAUCUGAAGGAGACAGAGUCCUUGCUGCCUGUUUAGCUCACUAACUUUAAGUGUAGAGAAUGGGCUUUGUGGUCCAAAUCCACUUAAUCCACAUUGAGAGGGAAAAGAGAAGGGAUUUGAUCCCAGUGCCUAGUACAGAAAGCAGUAAAAAUUUAGUCAUUAUUAAUGUUAACUAUUAGAGGCCUUCCAGUUUACCUUCAAAACAGAGGAAGUUGAUUUUCAUGUCUACACUUAGUCCGUCUUGCUGCUGUUUAAGCCUCUGGUUACAGAAGAGCAUCUCAACAGUAUUUCACAGAAUGGCCCAGUGCCGUCUGGUACCUGUGAAACUCUUGAGUGGACUUGGAUGCCACUUCCUUUGCAUGGUUCUGGUUGUUGUUUGGAGCCCACAGCAUCACUCUCCUUGAGCAAGUAGGCAGGCAGCAUUGUAUUGGUUAAGAUUGUGGGGUCCUGAAGUUCAGAGUUAGAAGCCUGCUUGUAAUGGUAUCUCUUAACCUUGGGCAAUUAACUUAGUCUCUUGGAGUCUUGUUUUCUUCAUUUGUAAUAUGAGGAUGAUAAUAUUUACCUUAUCAACAUGCUGUAAUGUACUAAGCACAGCAUUUGGCACCUGGUCAGCCCAGGUAGUGGUUCGUUAAGAUUGUGAUUUUUAUGAUUAAAUCAAAUAUUGUGUGAUUUUAAUCUUGAGAAUAAUUUUCUCUGAGUUAGGGAGCAAACUGAAUUUGUUGACUGGUGUCAUUAGGGUGCUUGUUUGUGAGAAGAGGAAGGAUGACCUUAGAUUGGAUGGCCGAAUGGAAGUUUGGGAGGCUGAGGAGAGUGAAUUGUUUGGCUUUCUAAAAAGACAGUCAAUGUCUGUUAUUUGAAAAUGCGUUUUGAUUGAAAACAUUGAGUUUGCCUGAUUGUGGAUUAAAUCCUUAUAUGUGACUGGACUGAGAAAAUUACUGAUAUUGGCACUCCAGUUUCUCUUACACAUUGAAACCUACUCUUUCUCUGCAAGUGCAGACUCCAUCUCUGUCUUUCAACUGAGGGAAAAACAAGAUCCUCUUUUGUUUUUUCUAGAAUCUAUCUUCACUUAUUGAAUUGGGUGGAAAGUUUGAGCAGUGAGUCAUUCCUCUUUGGGGGAUCACCUGAAUCUUCUUGCUGCAACGCCCUCAGAGCUGAAUUCUUAGUGGGAAAACACGUACAGCAUCCAUGUACUUAAAGGAUUGGUGCUUUCUGGACUAUUUGAGUAACUGAACAUUACAGAAAGAACUGAAAAACAAGCAAAAUCACUUAUCCCAAAGUGACUGGUUCUUCAAAUCCCUACUUCCCAAGUCUGAAUGAACUCUUAAGAAGAGAAUGUUUUCUCUGUGAGUGAGGGUCAAAGUGGCCUGAUACUUAAAGUGAGAAGAUGGAACAGAAUGAAGAGCAUGGAUCAGGGAGUCCAGAAAGCUGGCUUCUCGCCUUGCUAUUUUAUGAUUGUGAUACCCUGAGCAAGGUGGUUCCCUUGUCCGGCUUCAGUUUUUUCACCUGUAUGGUCAGGGGCUGUAGAUGAUCUCUAGGGUUAUGGGUUGGAAGUAGCUUUGUGCACCCUUCCUUAAGCGCAUAGACAGACAUUCUUGAAGCAUCCUUGGCCGCUUGUCAUUCCAUCUCUAUUUGGCUAUUUCAUUCAUUGGCUUGGCUUCUCUUCUAGAGAUUCAGAAUCCUUGAUUUUCAAGGCAGUUUUGAAGAACUUAAUGUUAGGUAGCUUUUCACGUUGGGUGGAUUCCUAGCCCUCCAGUAGUCGUAAUUCUAUCUUUUCCAUCUCUCACAUGACAUAUCUUCAGAUAUUGAACAAGAGUUAUGUUGAUUCUUCUCUGAGUUAUGCUGCCAAAGCUCUUUGUACCAUGCCUCUUUAAUGUAGUUUCAGACUCUUUGUAAUCAUGCUAGCUUUCCUGAAAUGUUCCCGUUUUUCAUUGCCACUUUUAAAAUGUGGUCCUCAGAAGAGCUUAUAAUACUUCAAAUAGGGUGUGACCAGCAUGGGGCGUGCUAAGAAGGUUUAAAAAUUGUGAUUUCAUUAGUAUAGCCCAAGUUGAUAUGUUUUUUGGGUUUAUUUUAUAGACAGCCAUGACCUGUUUGAAACAUGUAUGUAACUGAUCCUUGGUGUGUUGUUUUUCACGUGAAUUGCUCAUAGUAAGGCCUUAUGUUAUAGACGAGCAGCUUUUGUUUUUACAUCCAGUGUAGUACUUUAUCUUUCUUUUUGUGAGUCAUUUUGUAUCUGUGUCUUGUUCUGGACUGCUAAAUCCUUCUGAACUUUCCAUCUUCCCUGGUUAUUAGGGAUCCCCACAAGUCGUCUCCUCGUUCUAACUGAUCCUGCCUCUGAGUACAUCCCAAGUUUGUCUGCUGAUGAAAAUGUUGACCAGCCCAGCUCCAGGGGUGAAAGGAAAGAUUGCAAAAACAUCUCAGAAGUCUUAUGAAGAUGGGACAAAGUUUAAGGAAUAUCCUAUCAUUCUGUCACUCUUAAAAUAUUCUUUUAUGGAACAUGUACAUCCCAAGUUAUGGUAGCAAUUAGUAGCUCUUUCUGUGUUUGAGCUGCUUUUUAGUGUAAAGUAUUAGCAGUAAUAGAGCACACACUCUGUAGAGUUAAAUGAUCUUAUCUGUGAAGUUAGAAAAGAUGACUAUAUCAAUUGUAAGUACAGUUGAGAAUGAUUUUGAAGAUGUAUCUAUAAAUGCUUGACAUUUUAAUAUAAUUAUUAGUUUAAGUAGAACUUUUAAAACUACAAGGAAUUUGCCAUUAUAUCACUAUUAUCAUUGGAAUUUUGCUUUAGUUAUAUUUGGCUCCCAAUUAUAAAAGCUUUAUCAUUUGGAGCAUAAGCUUAAACUUUUGCAGCAUGGAUUUUAGGAGCAGUAUAGAGAUGAAUCUCCAGUGAUUCUAUUUUUUAUUACAGGAAAUGUUAUGUCCAGAAGCUGUCCAAAUGAAGGUGUUUUUAUUGAUUAACUUUCUACACAGAACAAGAUACUGUAUGAUUUCUAGAUUACAGUGCUCUAGGGGGUGCAUAUAGAAAUUGGAACUCUGAUAGGAUUCAGUUUUAUUAAAUACAUAAGGUUUUGCACCUUAAAGGUUAAGUAUCCAAUUGCACCCAACUAGGAAAUUCAAAGUUAUGAUUUUCACAGUAACUGUUAUGUUGUCCCUAUGGGCAGAUUUAGAAUUUGCAUUGUUGGGUGUAAUGUAUAGUUGAUUCUUACAUUUAAUGAAUGACAGAAAUUAACUUCAUUUUUCUAUGUACUUUAAUUUGGCAGUAUUCAUUGAUCAGUAAUAACUUGAACAUAUACCAUGUGAUACGCCCUGAGAUAUAGAAAUGAAGAAAUCAAACAAAAAACCCUGCUCUAUGUUGUACUCUUAGAUAAUAGGGGGGAUGCAGGAAUUUAACUCUGUGAUCCCAUGAUAAAAUUAAGGGAAUAAUUGUGCAUUGCACCAGGAAUGCUUACACAUGCUGCUUACAAAUGAUGUCACUUGCCAAGUUUACACAUCUGAUUUAGAGGAAACAAAGAUUUCAGACUUAAUUGAGGACACAUGUCUUUGGUAUCUUUCUUGCAGUAACUCUUUCUAGUCCUUGAAGACUAUCAUGAAACCAUCAAUAGGACUUAACUUUAAAAAACCUCUGGCUGAGGUAGCAAUUUAAGAUUGAGUGAUUAUUGACUGGGGCAUGGUUUUCAUAUUACCAAAAAUCUAACGGUUUUAAGGUUCAGACCUCUUUUGGGGCUGUUAAAGCUAUGAUAUUGUUCGUAAAAAUAAAAAUCUGAAAUAAAAAAUGGCGUGGGGUUUCCAAACUGUGUGCCAUGUGGUCAGUUCAGUUUUUCUUGACAUAGAGCAGGGAGCCAUUGUAAACAGGACCGUUCUAAUCCAUAUGCAGCUGGCAGCUUCAGUCUUUCACAGACUAACAAGUAAGACCACUAUGAGCUCUAUAGCUUCUUUAGUUUUCGCAUGGGUGCUUCAUCACAUGGAGGCCAGGGGAGGAGGAGCCAGGGAGAAGGAACACUUUGUCUUCAGACUUAGAAAGUACACUUGGAAAAGAAAAGAGAAUCUUUUGAAUAAAAUCAGAAGGGAAAACAUGCAUACAAACAAGAUUCUGGAAUCCUACAAAAUAAUAACAUACUCAAACUCUUUGCAUGGGAGUUUUUUGGCCAAUUUUUUUUGGCCAGUGUAAGAUUUUUGUCAUAAAAGGAAGCAGUUUUUAAUGCUUAGUUCUUAGUUUCUAAUCAUGUGAGCUUCGUGACAUUUAAACAGUAUUUUUGACAAUGAGAACAAUUAAAUUAUGUGGAAAUUUAGCCCCUAAAAUAUAUUUUCCAGUGUCUUUCCCUGGAUACUAUUAGCUGUAGUCUUGUCUACUAAGAGAUGAAUUAGGUGACCUCAUAAAGUCUCUUUAGUACCCAUCCUGGGAGAUGUUUAAAAAAUAUAUUUUAUAUAUACCACAGGACCCCUACCUCCUCAUUUCCUCUGUCAGUUGAAUUCUUAAAAUGAUUACAUUUUUUCUUGUUCCCUGUGACUAAAUUUUAUUUAUUUUCCAGUCUUUAGGCAAAGAAUGGCAUAAAUUAGGACAGGUAGAAAACCUCAAAGAGCUUCCUCCAUUCUCCUGAAGCUCAUAUUGUGUCCAUCUCCUGUAUGACUACCACCCACGAGGGGAAACUCCCAUCCCUGUUCUGCUCUCUUUUGUUCAUAUUUAUUGUUGGGCAGCAGACCUUAAGGUAGACAAGGGCGGGUGGGUUUUAAAGAGGAAACUCCUAUUUAAACUCCUGUUUUUAAGAGGAAGUUCACAUUCCUGAAACUCUUGCUGUUAUUUUCUCCCGGUAGCUGUCUCUUCUUUUUUUUCAGGGGAGACAUGGGAGAGAGAUAUUAAAUCCAAGAAAGCAGGGGGAUUUUCACCACCUCUUUUAUCCUCCUUCAUGGCCCUGCUCAUCUUUUCCUUUUCCAGACUGCUUCUUUACAAAUCAGACCUGGGGAGUUAUUUUCCCCACAAAAUAGAUUCUGCUAUCAGUUACUGUGCUUCAGGAAGUCUGGGGCUUGAGUCCUGAGAAUCUCUAUGUUUCUUGAGUUAUGCAGGUGCCUUUGAUGCCCAAUUAGAUUUGAGAACUGUUGGAUACCUGUGCACCGCAGAUACUUAAGGAGUUCUGAGUCCUAGGUCACAGGAGUCAAUACCAGUGGGGCUUAGAGCAUGGCAGAUAGGUCCACAGGUAUCAGGGGUUCGUGACCUGACAACCAAAGCUUCACAGAGUGAGAGUGCAGUUGAACUUAACUGAAGUCAGCCUGUUGUGGGGCCUGGUGUUUACAGUGCCCUGUUUAAAGUUUAUUAGAGAGGGGAGCUAUCAAGAUGGCAGAGGAAUAGGACGUGGAGCUCACCUCCUCCCACAAAUACAUCAGAAAUACAUCUACACAUGGAAAAAUUUGCACAGAACAUAUACUGAACACUGGCAGAAGAGCUCAGACUUCCAAAAGGGCAAGGAAACCUCCACGUAACUGCGUAGGACAAAAGAAAAAAG